UCAAAUAGAACUUAAAUGAAAGAGAUAUAUUCCUGUGAAACUUUUUGAAGUGAGCUGAACUAUAUGUUCUAAUGGAAGACUUCCAUAGGAAAUUUCUCAACAAGGACUAAUAGAGCAGGGGAAAGGCUGAAACAAUUCCACUUAGAAGAAGGUUACAAACAGGCUGAGUAUUGCAGCUGGCUGGAAGAAGUUUGUGCUCUGCAGGGCUAAGGUGAAUACAAGUUCACACAGAACAGACAGCACAAUGCUGAUAGCUGACAUUUCUGCUCCAGUCCUUCUCUAAAACCAGUUGUCUAGGC
This 299-nucleotide long non-coding RNA is filed under the name Coturnix japonica (Japanese quail). RNAcentral describes it as "lncRNA (ENSCJPG00005017530.1)". The record is from RNAcentral. Lineage: Eukaryota; Metazoa; Chordata; Aves; Galliformes; Phasianidae.